AGGAUUAUAGUUUAAUUAAUUAAAACAUUUAAUUUGCAAUUAAAAAUUAUUUUCAUAUAAAUUUAUCUUA
RNAcentral lists this transfer RNA (70 nucleotides) under Kisaura zhejiangensis (nom. nud.). RNAcentral's name for it is "tRNA-Ala". The record is from RNAcentral. Lineage: Eukaryota; Metazoa; Arthropoda; Insecta; Trichoptera; Philopotamidae.